AGAGUUUGAUCCUGGCUCAGGACGAACGCUGGCGGCGUGCCUAAUACAUGCAAGUCGAGCGGACCGACGGGAGCUUGCUCCCUUAGGUCAGCGGCGGACGGGUGAGUAACACGUGGGUAACCUGCCUGUAAGACUGGGAUAACUCCGGGAAACCGGGGCUAAUACCGGAUGCUUGAUUGAACCGCAUGGUUCCAAUCAUAAAAGGUGGCUUUUAGCUACCACUUACAGAUGGACCCGCGGCGCAUUAGCUAGUUGGUGAGGUAACGGCUCACCAAGGCGACGAUGCGUAGCCGACCUGAGAGGGUGAUCGGCCACACUGGGACUGAGACACGGCCCAGACUCCUACGGGAGGCAGCAGUAGGGAAUCUUCCGCAAUGGACGAAAGUCUGACGGAGCAACGCCGCGUGAGUGAUGAAGGUUUUCGGAUCGUAAAACUCUGUUGUUAGGGAAGAACAAGUACCGUUCGAAUAGGGCGGCACCUUGACGGUACCUAACCAGAAAGCCACGGCUAACUACGUGCCAGCAGCCGCGGUAAUACGUAGGUGGCAAGCGUUGUCCGGAAUUAUUGGGCGUAAAGCGCGCGCAGGCGGUUUCUUAAGUCUGAUGUGAAAGCCCCCGGCUCAACCGGGGAGGGUCAUUGGAAACUGGGGAACUUGAGUGCAGAAGAGGAGAGUGGAAUUCCACGUGUAGCGGUGAAAUGCGUAGAGAUGUGGAGGAACACCAGUGGCGAAGGCGACUCUCUGGUCUGUAACUGACGCUGAGGCGCGAAAGCGUGGGGAGCGAACAGGAUUAGAUACCCUGGUAGUCCACGCCGUAAACGAUGAGUGCUAAGUGUUAGAGGGUUUCCGCCCUUUAGUGCUGCAGCAAACGCAUUAAGCACUCCGCCCUGGGGGAGUACGGUCGCAAGACUGAAACUCAAAGGGAAUUUGACGGGGGGCCCGCACAAGCGUUGGAGCAUGUGGUUUAAGUCGAGCACGGCGAAGAAUCCUUAACAAGUCUGGACCAUUCGUCUGGACUAUCCUUAGAGAUACAGCCUUCCGUCGGGACAGAGUGACAGUGAUGCCAAUGU
RNAcentral lists this ribosomal RNA (1069 nucleotides) under Bacillus licheniformis. RNAcentral describes it as "bacterial SSU rRNA". It matches the Rfam family "Bacterial small subunit ribosomal RNA", at positions 8 to 1050 of the family's 1533-position model. The record is from RNAcentral. Lineage: Bacteria; Bacillati; Bacillota; Bacilli; Caryophanales; Bacillaceae.